This is a long non-coding RNA of Varanus komodoensis (Komodo dragon), 7921 nucleotides long. RefSeq lists it as uncharacterized. The transcript is spliced from 3 exons. The record is from RefSeq and is a predicted model, not a curated record. Lineage: Eukaryota; Metazoa; Chordata; Lepidosauria; Squamata; Varanidae.
CGUACGCAAAUAGAUGCACAGCAUUGGAAAGAAUUACUGUAGUUUACAUUUGAUAGAGGAGAAGUUAACCUCUUGCUUGCGUUCAGGACAGAACUGGGCAAUGUCCCAAACUGCGUGUUCCAGGUACCCACCCCUUUCCUUGGCCCUUCAGGCCCAAAUCCAGAUGGAAAGGAUGGAGUUCUUGAGACCAGCAGUGAGCUGCAUGAUGCUUUAAACAUUUAUCCUUUAAUUGCAAAUUGAACAGCACACUGGCAAGGGACAUAAUAAGAAUGUAUUGUAGGCCGUACUGACCCCGAGCUUUUAGGCUGCAAGCUUACACAGUUCUUAGAGAGUAUCUCCUCCCCCACUGAACAUUAUGGAUUUGGUUUGAGUAAAUCCUUAAUUUCCAUACUAUUUAUUUAUUUAUGUAUGUAUUUAUUUAAACAUUUAUUUAUUUAUUAAAACAUACUAAAGGGCUGGAGGAUGUUGCUUUGCUGUUCCUAAUACCUGAACCAAAAGAAGUGGGAGAGAAAGAUACUGACUUCUCAUUUUAUUUCAAAUACCUUUUUUUUUUGAGGGGGGGGUGUAGCUUCUGAGAAUUUAGAACACUUUCUAUUUUAACACUUCUUGGAUUCUAACUUCUGAUACCCUAAAAUCUACAACAAAUGUGGCAAGAUUCAGUUCUAGAAACAUCAUCAUCAUCAUACAACUCUUAAUUAAAGGGCCAAAAUGCAUAGCUGAAUGCCUUUAUUAUGACCAACCAAAACUCCUAACAAAGAUAAUUGCCCAACAUUGAAUGGGGGUUUUUUUAUUCCUCAUGGUCCAGUAUGGCUACCUUUGUUUCUGGUGGUGGUUUUAUUUUUAAGCUACUCAUCGCAUUGCACUUGAAGAUGCUUCCAGAUGGUUUGCUCCAAGCAGUGCCAGUCAAAGACAUGAUGCUGCUAUUAUGCCUACUCCGCUAACAUAUUUUUGUGAAAAGGAGAAAGAUGGGGAAAGUGGUGGGAGAACACUUGGGGGCUGUUAGAAGAAAGCAGUGCCGUUUGGACACCAUGUAAAAUUCUGUGAAUGCAGCAAUCUGGGACCGCACAAUAGCCUUGUCCAGAAGCAGCCUGACUCGCGGCUGCUUUCAUGUAAGGCACACACUUCAUACAGGGCAUGGUUUUGGAAGACGCCUUCUCCCAUGCAGAAAAGACUGCUUCUGGUUUGGCACCAGCCACUCACAUUCACUGGCAACAGCUUGUAUUAAAAUCACUGAACAGUUGUGAAAAUUGGCUAUUGAAUGAAUCCAGGACACAUUUAUAUUUAUAUUUUAAACCGCUUUAAUAAAUUAAUUGAACCAAUUAAAAGAGUACACUGUACAGCCUUAGUAACAGGAAGCAGACGAGCAAAGUUACAAAAAUGACCUUGGCUGCUUCCAGAUGGAGGGCUCCUACCAAUACCAAUUAAAAGACAUUGUUCAGCUAGUUUGUCUUUUUCUCCUUGACAUGUUAUUUGUGUGUGCCUUGAGAAGACAAAAGAUGGAAGAAACAGUGGGAACAAAUGGGAGGCUUACUAAUGGAAGACGACGACAUCUGUAAAAAUGGCAUGGAUGAGGCAGACUCAUCUUGAAGGACCUUAGGUUACGACCAGGAAUGAACAUUUUGAGAAGCAAAAACUGUGGCUUUUGAGGAAGGAUUUGUAACUAGCAUCAGAACUAAAGGUUGUUUGCUUUUUCUGAAGGAAUCUUCCUCCAGUCUUUACAUCAUCCUGUAAAAACAAGAGAGAUCUGAAAACCUGGUAAGUGCUUUAAUGGAUUUUCCAGAGAAAAUUAUUCACAUCUGUACAUUUAAUAUUUACUGAAUGUUACACAACUGGAGAAGGUAUGCACAAACUGUUUGCUCCACUUACAGCAAGGGCUUUCUGCAUGAGGCAUUUAUUGUGUGCUCAUGAUUCAUAGUAGUUGAAGGAGGUUUACACAACAGUGCCAUCCUCCAGGGCCCUUUCUGUGCUUCCCAAGUGUUUUUGUGGUGGGUCUGUUUUAUUUUGCGGGAUAAAAAUCUGGCAUUAUGUGAACAUGAUGGAAUGAACUAGAAAGGGAAGCUCCUGUAUUUUUGCAAUUUUGCUGUACUGCAGCACCUCCUGUACUUCUGUAAAGGAACAUAUAGAAAGGCACAGACAGGGAAAAAAAUCCUGGGAAAGAAACACUUGUAAAGGAGCCACUCUUAAUCCUGCAAAGAAUCCAGAAGCAGAAGCCUCAGUAAAAUAGUGGGCCAAAAGCCUGUGCAGGGAGGCCCAGGUCUUGCGGUGUGAACUGAAAGCUAAGUCAGGAACUUCAACCAUUCAGAUGUGCAUUUUCCCAGAGUUGAUAGCACCUAUGUUAGAGUUUUUAGGACCCUUAGCCAGGGAUAUUUGCUUCACUUACCACAUUGUAACAGAGCACCAAGGAGAGAACAUGGUAUUUUGUUGUACACCUGAGUCUUCAAGGAAGGAAGUCUUGGCACAUUACAGGUUUUUGUGCUAAAUGUUGGUGGAGGUUUUUUUAAAUGACCAAAUUAAGCUGUUUGAUAACAUGCUAUUUGUUUUCUUUACAUAGUUUGUGUUACUGCUCUUAAUGCUAUUUUGAUUUGUGAUGCUUUUGAGGUUUUUGGAUUUGAUCUAGAUUUCUGCUGGAUCAACUGUAGCAGCAGAAGUGGUCUUCCCUGCCCCCUCCAUCGCACAGUGGCCCCUCCAGUACCCGGGAAUACAGCACAGGAAAUCAGACGUGUGCGAUGUGCCUUCAAGUUGCCUCUGACUUACAGUGAACCCCCUCCAAAACGUCCUGACCUUGACAGCCCUGCUCAGCUCUUGUAAACUCAAGGCUGUGGCUUCCUUGAUGGAAUCAAGCUAUCUCAUACUAGGUCUUCCUUUAAUUCUUCUCCCUCUGACUUUUCCUAGCAUUAUUAUCUUCCUUAGUGAGUCUUCCCUUCUCAUGAUGCGUCGCAAGAACAACAGGCACAGUUUGGACAUUUUUGCUUUCAGGGCUUAAAUUCCAGCUUGAUUUGAUCCAGGACUCCCUUGCUCAUCUUUCUGUGACUCCAGGCUAUUCACAAAGCUCUCCACUAGCAUCACCCCACAAAUAGAGUGAGCUAUGGCGUGUGAGUAAAGGACCCCCAAAAUAAGGCAGAGGGACCUUUCACAAGCAUAAGGUAUGUCUAGAAUCUAACUCUUUAUAUAUGUUUUCAUUAAACUAUACCAAAGGUUGCAUAUUAUAUAAAUUACAAAAAAGAAAGAAACCUAAUGGAUGUUGAGUAAUUUGUACUGUCUAUAGCAGCUUUCCAUGAUGACAGGCAGGUCUGUUUCCUUGCUGAAGACUAAACCCAGUUUUAAUACUUAGCUCCAGUGAUUGGAUACAUGGAAGCCCCUAAAUUUGGAGUCUUAUGUGCAUCAAUAGGAUCGCACCCUUAAUUGGAUUUCAGGUGUGCCUAUUGUAAUCAAUGAGCCUAAAGUUAGUCAUGACUUAACUGCUAAUAAGUGUAAUAAAUUAUGUCACCAUGGCUUUAUUUGCCUGGGAUGAAUUGCCAUGGCAUAUCCUGGCUUCCCAUGAAUAAGCUGAAUGCAUGCAGUCCUUUCAUUCCUGCCUGGCUCUUCUCACUAAUGUAAGUAGCCAGACAAACUAGAAAUGGUUGCCCCAUGGGCUAUUUUAGGAUUUGUAAGCCACGAACAAAUUUAAGGUAUUUCCUCAAUGCCUUUCAAAGCAAGAGCCCUCCCUGGCAUGGUAUACAACAAUAAAAUACAUAAGAAAACCAACGGGAUAUUAAAAUGGUAAAAACAGCAAAAAAACACAAUAAAAUAGAAAAUAGCACACAAAACAGGAAACACCAGGAUAAAUAAAACUUGCAGUGUGCUACUGCAGCUACACCAAGUUGAAUAAAACUUAAUUAGGGGGAGACCAAAGCAAAGUAGUAAGUUUCAGGGCCUUCUUAAAAGCUUGCAAUGAUGGGGUCUGGUGGGCCCCAGGGACCAACUUAUUCCAUAUCUGGGGGGCCACAGCAGACAAGGCCCUCUCUCAUGUGGCCACCAGCCUAAUGCUGUCAUAGGUGGGCAACUGAGAAGGGCCUCUCUGGCCGAUCUUAAAGAGCACACAAGCUGGGUGAAGGUGGCCCUUCAAGGACUUUGGUCCCAAACUGACCCUUCUAGUGUUAAGGGUAAAAAUUAGACCUUUACAUUUUGCUUAGAAAUAUGCUGCCAAUCAGAGUAGCCACAGCAGUAUUACAUGAUCAGAUUAUCUCAUCGUCGGCAGCACUUGGGCAGCUGCAUUCUGUGCCAGCUGAAGUUUCUGAACCAUAUUCAAGGGCAGCCCAAUCCAGAUCACAUUACAGCCAUCAAGUCUGGACUUCACUAGUCCAUAGAUACCUGAGGCAAGGUCUGUCCUCCCCCAAUAGCGCCACAACUGGUGCUCCAACAUGAGUUAGUGAAAUGCAUUCCUGGCCACCCCAACCAUGUGGGCUUCCCCCGUUAGCACUGAGUCCAGGAGGUAUCCCAGACUAUGCACGUUUUUAGGGCAAGUGUAACCCUGUUUAGGGCAAGUGUAAACCUCCAUCCAAUCCAUAGUGUUCUGUCUUGUCUGGAUUAAGUUUCUGACUGCUUACUCUUAUCCACAUAGAGCAGUAUCAAAGCCUCCCUUGGAUUUAGAAAUGGAAAUCAGAAGUACAGCUGAUUAUGCUUCAGUGCAAACCUCCUGGUGACUCCCCUCCGUAGUUUCAUGUAGAUGUUAAAAGCACGGGGCGUAGGAUGAGACCUUGAAACACCCCGUAGACUAUAGAGUGGAACAGUAGCUUCCCCAGCACUGACUUCUGAAACGGUUCCUCUAGGAAAUACUAGUAUCAACUGAAAACUGAGCCUACUCAUCUCAAUUCAAUUCAAUUCCAUUCCAUUCCAUUCCAUUCAAUUCAAUUCAAUUCAAUUCCUUAGAAGGAUACCGUGGUCAAUUGUAUCAAAAGUUUCUGAGACAUCUAUAAGAACGAAUAGGGUUGCAAUCCCCCCAUCUAUUCUUGGGCAUAAGUCAAUCAACCAACGAUGUUACUUUUCUAUUAUUAAGUUUGCAAGUUUAUUGGAAUGGAUUUAAAUAAUGAGUAUCAAGCUACACCGCUUAGAGUUGCGAGGUCACCACAUGAUCAAGAAUGGCAAAUUUGAUACUGGCUGGUUGUUAUCUGAAGCCAGAGGGUCUAAUGUGGUUUCUCACUUCUGCUUUUUCCAAAGUUGCAGGGACCUUGCUGUCCCUCGAAGAAGUAUCUGAGGUCCAGGUAUCAAGUCCAGCUCAGAUUUCACAAGCCAGACUUAGAGAGGAACCUACAGGGCUAGGAGUAGGCUCAGUCCUCCAAGCAGUUUGUCUACAUCCUCAGGUUGCACAAGGUGAGUACAGCUAUGUACAUCUAUAACGAAAUGGUACUCCAGCCCCAUCCAUCUCAGACGUGGUCAAAACAAUGAUAUUCAAGUCAACAUGGAUACAGGCAACUUUAUCUCCAAAAGUGUCUAACCAAUUGUUCACUGCAGGCCUUUGAAGGUUCAAAUUGGUGUUCUAAAGCGUAUACCCAGGAGGCCAGUAACCACCUAAAGCAGCUGCACUGAGCAGAUGCAAUGAUGGUCAAGAAAAAAGAUUUCACUGCCAAUACUGCCAUGGAUUAAGAUCACAAAUGGAUUCUUACCUGUGCAGUCAAGUCUGUUGUGUGCCUUCUGCCACUGCUUUAAUCACUGAGAUAGUUAUUUUACUGCACUCAGCUCCUAGAAUGACUAAAGAACUGGUAUGGUUCUACACACAUCAUAUCAAUAGCCUGGUUCAUCUCAUUCCAGGCAGGGCCCAGAACCUCAGCUGCAAUCCCCAGUAUUUUAGAAAUCCAUUUGGAUUCACCAGCCUCCAGGGGCGAACAAUCCAAUUUGGUCCCACACCCCUGCCGAGGUUACUGGUACAGCCCAGAAAGUGCAUCCUGCUACAUGUUAGGCCAGAUAUAACCUGAGACAUGGAAUCUUCAGCCGUUCCUGUCAAGGAAGCCACAGCAUGAAUAUUGAAGGAAGGAGACCACAGCCCCCCAAACCAAGAGACUUGGAGCCCUCAAUACCACCCUUGAGAACACCUCAAGUCAGCUCAAACAGAAAGACUUACUGGGUAGUGGGGUACACCAUUAUAAUCCUGUCUUAGGUGCCCAACAUCAGGUACAGUCACUCAAAAUGGGCUGAGUGUUGGGGCAGGGUGUCUGAUCAGGGGGGUAGAAUUCCUGUCAUGAAAGUCUCCUCUUCCCCUUUCCACCCAUCUAGUCAAGCUUGGCUCAGCACAAGAAACCCUGGUGGACAUAUUCAGGAGAAAUUAACUCCUCCUCCAUUCAUCUAACCAAGUUUCAGGAACAAAGGCCAGGUCAGCCUGCUCUUCAGAAAGGAGGUCAAGGAUGAUACACCCUCCUCCAUGAUCCCGCCUGGCAUUCAUCAGCCACACCUUCGGGCUAGAGGGGGGUGAAGGCACGCCACCACAACUGGAGUACCUUCCAGAAGGAGCUAAAGUGCACCAUGUCAGCACCUCCCACCAACAUUACGCCUUCUGCCCCACACUGCAUCUAUACUGGUCCCAACUUCUUCCACAGUGCAAACCACAGCUGACCCACCAAAACCUACCAAAUGCCCAAACCCACCUAACUGAGCUAAUAUCAGUAUAAACCAGAAGUAUCACAUGCCAGCUAAUUCUUCUGUGUGUGCCAGAAAGCAAAAAGUCUUGCCCUUGCCCGUCCCCAAAGAGAUGACCCCCUGUGGUGUCACCCCAUGGCCAGUCCUCUAGGCCUCUUCUGUUGCUUCCAGGCCGGAGUUGCCGCCUCCUACGGCAGUGUUGACACUCUGAAGGAGGCCAGCUACUAUUCUUUCCAGCCAGAAGUGGAUGUUCUUGUUGCUGGAGUUACUGCUGCUGAGGUCCAGGCCAGAUAAGUUUGACCUUCCAGAAAGUUCCCAUGCCACCAACUGACAAAGCUUCCUGGAUAAUUAGUGAAGCCAUCCUGAGCCAAAAUUAGCCCUGCCUACAAGGUCAAGAGCCAUUAGGAGAGAAAAAAAAUCUAUGGCACAAGGCAGGUGUGUUGCUUCCCCAGGGCAGUCGUAAGCAUCCUGCGGUGGUGGGAGUUACUUCAGCUGGAAGAAUACGAGGAACAUCUAUGCAGAAUACGAGGGACAUCUAAGUGCUGUUGGUUACCAUGGGUGCUCGUCUUUUUUGCACAGGCCGUACGUGAGCCCGUCUGGUGAUGGAAGCACCAGGUGCAAAUUGGAUGGCCAGUCUGCCGCCACCAGUUCCAGCCACCUGUGUCCCUGUCUUCACCCUUCUAGCCCAACCGAGCUCACAAUGGUCAUUGAGAAUCUUGUAAGGUUUUUUACUAGAACGUGCCGUAACAUGUGUUACUAGAACUUGAGGCUUCACCCGGUGAAUCUAACUGAUGCUACAUUCAGGACACACAAAUGAAGGUACUUGUUCCCAUAAGACAUAAUUUAUACAAGUCUCUGUCACUAGGUAAGGAGAUGGUUUCUGCCUUAGAUGGCCUUAAAAGGGGAUUUCUCACAUGAAUGGGGAGGGUAUGGAAGAGCUCAUGGCCACCUCCAGGGUCAGGGGAAGACUUUAGUUAUUUAAAGAGUUUUUAUCCUGCUCCUUAGCCAAAAAGUCUCUGGGGCAGCUUUCAAACAACCAGUAAAAGAGGAAAGUCCCUGCCUGCAGGCUUAAGAAGACAUGAGUUACAAGGGGAAAAAAGGAUCAGCGAAGGAAGAAGGCAGAAUUUUAUUUUUUUAGUAGUGCUAUUGGAAUAUUCCUGCUUUCCCCUCUCUUCUUCACUACAGCAUGCUGGAAGGGCUGCUGCUGUGACCAUAAAGGGAGGAGAAGCUUGUGAGGGGAGACUGGCAAGGGAUGGCUGUUCCCCUUGGCUGGUCAGAAGCAUGUUUUAUUAUUUAAAACAUGCUUUUUAUU